GAUGAAGAACGUAGUGAAAUGCGAUACGUAGUGUGAAUUGCAGAAUUCCGCGAAUCAUCGAGUUUUUGAACGCAAGUUGCGCCCGAGGCUUGUCCGAGGGCAUUUCCGCUAGAGCGUCACCGCGCCCCCCCCCACCACGCUCCCUAAGUUACUUGGGAGUUUGAGUGGAACUGGCCGUCCCGGAAAUCGGGUCGGCUGAAAUGGAGGGAAUUUGGCCGCCGUGGCAUCACUUGCCCCCGCGAUCAGGUGCGAUUUCGAAGGUUAUCUUCCAAGUGCGGGGGCUCCCAGUGAGCCCCGAGUGCGUGCCGGAGUUCCACAGCAGGCUACCUUUACCACUUGGGGCCAGCAAUGGCCCAAGACACGAAGGGAAAAGAGGUAACGCAUCAGACCUCUAAUCGGAAAAGACUACCCGCCGAGUUUAAGCAUAUCAAUAAGCGGAGGA
This 442-nucleotide unclassified non-coding RNA is filed under the name soil metagenome. RNAcentral's name for it is "partial contains 5.8S ribosomal RNA, internal transcribed spacer 2, and large subunit ribosomal RNA". The stretch from base 1 to 119 matches the Rfam family "5.8S ribosomal RNA", at positions 35 to 154 of the family's 154-position model. The record is from RNAcentral.